This 87-nucleotide transfer RNA is filed under the name Streptomyces griseus. Its description in RNAcentral is "tRNA-Ala(cgc)". The record is from RNAcentral. RNAcentral also lists the same sequence under 1 other name. Lineage: Bacteria; Bacillati; Actinomycetota; Actinomycetes; Kitasatosporales; Streptomycetaceae.
UCCGCGCGAGCUGCUGGAGCAGGCGGCGUUCGCGCUGCUGGACUACAUCGAGUCGUACACGGACGGGUUCCGGAUCCUGGUGCGGGA